GAAAUGACCCCUGAGUUUGUUUGUUUAGAAGAGGUACUGCCAAAUAAUUAAACAGAUCACUAAGUAUGGACCAAAAGAAAAAUGUUCUUGAUCAAUAGGAUACUGAAUUUUUCAAGGAAAUUAAGGGGGAAAAUCGGUCAACUAAAAACAACAACAAAAAAAAACCCACAUGUAAUUGGGCAAUCAAAACGCUCACUAAGAAAAAGUGCUGUUCAUUCUAUGUUCUCGGUAAAAAAAAACGUUUUGCAAACACAGACAUA
Molecule: long non-coding RNA, 260 nt
Filed under: Bos taurus (domestic cattle)
Lineage: Eukaryota; Metazoa; Chordata; Mammalia; Artiodactyla; Bovidae
Description: long non-coding RNA NONBTAT015843
Source: RNAcentral